GUAUAUACGGGACAGGAAAAUGUGAGUGGUUUCUCUUUCUGUCUGUGUGUGUGUAACAGACGGUUGUACAGCGAGUGCUGUGAUUGCAGUCUACCAGGCUGUAUUUAGUACCAAAAGAUGCUUUUCUGAGAGUGCUGAACAUAACAACUUGAGAAAAGAGCCCUGGCUGCAGGCCUGAGGAAGGCAGACACUGGAAUACAGGCUGGAAAAGGAAGGGCCAUCUGUGUAUGCCUGCUAAAGAACCAAAGAAAAAGAGAGAGGAAAAAAGAAAGAAGAGUGAUUACACAAAAGGCCCUGGACACCAGUGAGUCACUGGGUACAUUGGUGGGUGACCAAGGAGAGAGAGAACUACAGAGGAAGGGAGGGAUGGUGGUGCGGCAGUAUGGAUGGGCGGAAAGCUGGAUGGGUAAAGAGAAUGAAAAGACUGUGGAGCAGAAAGAAAAACAGAGCUACAGAAAAACAAACCCUGACAUCAUGGAGCAACUUGGAAACUGAAUGUAGGUCAAACCCAACCUGGUCUUACUCUUAAUGUUACACAUAAGACACUUUACCAGGCAGAUGAUCAGAUCAGAUGGCUAAGGCAUAAAUAUAUAUUUAACGGAAAUCUGAUCAAAACAUCAAACAGUGUGCUUUUAACACUAUUCUUGUUUUAAAGGGAUAGUCACCAUUUAUAAUGAGCUCAAGCUGUGCCAAACCUCUAGAGUUUCUUUCUUCUCCUGAGCUCAAAAGAAGAUAUUUUGAAGAACGUUGGUAACCAAGCAGUUUCUGGUCCCCAUUGACUUUCAUAGUAUAUUUUAUAUUAAAGAAACAAAUACAGGUUUGGAACAAUUUGAGGGUAAGUAAUUGAUUAUUUUCAAUUUUGACUGAACUAUCCCUUUAAUUUCUCUAGUUUGGCCUCUCCAUCAAGAUGAAAGAGCACUGAAACAUCCAGCGUUUGAGGCAAUGUGAAAAACGACUGACUCACGCUUAUGAAUGUCAAUUCAGGGAUUGUUUUUUUUUUUUUUUUUGCUGGCUCUCUGAAGGUUACCCUGACACACAUCCAUUGUAAAUGUCAACAUGCAAAUCCGCAGACACACACACAUGAGAUUAACACCAUGAGGCAACAAUAUGAGGUGGCUGUGUGUCAGAGAUUCAUCCUGUGAGAUCACCGCCAUAUUGUUUUACUUUAGAAAAGCAGGAACACAUGUAAUGAUGCUUACAGUAUAAACCGCCGAUUACACAAGGACUUGAAAAGAGCUGCCCACACAAACAAUGUGCCCCUAGCGGGUCAACAUCAUUUACACAGAGAUAUGGAAAUGAAACUCUGUUGACAUAUAAGACUCCUCGGGAAGAUUGUGUGUGAAAGGUUGAUUAAUUCUGUAGCGUCACGGAUGCGUGGCUGUCAGUGCCUGAUGGCCGUGGGUGGCUGAGCUGCAGAGAAAAGGAUUCAGAUCAUUAGCGAAACCACAGGUCAUUUACUGAGCCCACAGUGUGAUCUCUAUGACACUAUUCUUCAAUGUUAAAACACUGUAUCCACAGCUUGUGUCUCCACGGGCUUCAAAUAGCCCAGAUGUGGAGGGCCUGGAGAGAUGCAGCUCAGGGGGUACAACACAUUAGUGUCUCCAUGAGCCAUUUGCCAAAGAGUGCAUGUGUUUUCUGGAAAUGCAGUAAUAUUUCAUUUGGAUGACAGAACCUUUGAUAUUUAGUUUGGCCAUUUUAAACUAUUUAAGAUCAUUAUGUAGACAUUAUGUUUGUGGUUUAAAUAAGUUAAGUCACAAAUUCAUGGAUCUGGUAAUGCCAAACAGUUUUGGUUCCUAUUGACUUCCAUUUUAGUUUUUGUUCUUAGAAAAACCAAAUAACUAAAGAAAAUCAAUAGGAACUGAAACGGUUUGGUUACCAACAUUGUUCCUCAGAAGAAAGGAAGUUACAUAGGUUUGUAUCUGACGCCCGGCCCAAGACUGAGUACUCAGUGACAGAAUUUUCAUUUUUGAGUGAACUAUCCCUGCAAACCUUCUCUUAUUAUUUUGUAUUCUUUAUAUUUUAGACAUUAAAUUAUUGACAUUGUUUCCUAACAAAAUGUAAAAAAAUAAAUAAAUAAUGAUAAUAAUAAUAAUAAACAAAAUAAAAUAAAUAAAAACAAAUAAAAUAAAAAAAUAUUACAAUUAAAAUGAUGUAUCAUCCCAUAUGGAUGUUUGAGCAGAUUAUAGUUUUAAUUAUGACACGGUCAUACUGGAUUAAUAAUGACAAUGAAAUGUCAAGCAGAAAUUAUAUUUCAUAUUUGUUACAGUUUAAGUAUUUUAUCUCUGUCUCUCUCUCUAUCUAUCUGUCUGUCAGAUGAGAUAAUAAAAAUGAGCAUUGCUUGUUUAAACACAAUUGCUUCUUGCUACUUGUAACCCCCCCCCA
Long non-coding RNA from Cyprinus carpio carpio, 2382 nucleotides. The record is from Ensembl. Lineage: Eukaryota; Metazoa; Chordata; Actinopteri; Cypriniformes; Cyprinidae.